Molecule: ribosomal RNA, 253 nt
Filed under: uncultured bacterium
Lineage: Bacteria
Description: partial 16S ribosomal RNA
Rfam family: Bacterial small subunit ribosomal RNA
Source: RNAcentral
UACAGAGGUCUCAAGCGUUGUUCGGAAUCACUGGGCGUAAAGCGCACGUAGGCGGCUUUCUAAGUCAGGGGUGAAAUCCUGGAGCUCAACUCCAGAACUGCCUUUGAUACUGGAGAGCUUGAGUCCGGAAGAGGUGAGUGGAACUCCGAGUGUAGAGGUGAAAUUCGUAGAUAUUCGGAAGAACACCAGUGGCGAAGGCGGCUCACUGGUCCGGUACUGACGCUGAGGUGCGAAAGCGUGGGGAGCAAACAGG